Molecule: transfer RNA, 65 nt
Filed under: Dipodomys ordii (Ord's kangaroo rat)
Lineage: Eukaryota; Metazoa; Chordata; Mammalia; Rodentia; Heteromyidae
Rfam family: tRNA
About the family: Transfer RNA (tRNA) molecules are approximately 80 nucleotides in length.
Source: Rfam by way of RNAcentral
GGUGGCUUAGUAGUAGAGUGCUUGCCUUGCAUGCAGGAGGCCCUGGGUUCGAUUCCUCAGCACCA